GGGAAAUUGGCACUAGCCUAGACUACUAAUAGAUAUGGACUUUAAAUUUGAAGAAUUUGGCGGUGGUUUAAUCUUAUUAGAGGAAUCUGUUUUUGAAUCGAUAUGCCACGUGGGAUCUUACUUGUUUUAUUUAGCUUAUAUACCGUCAUUAUCAGAUAAUUUUUAGAGAAAUUAAUUAUUAAAAUUUAUUAAAGAGAUAAGAGAAAUUAGAUCAAGGUGUAGUUUAUGAACAAGUUAAAAUGGAUUACAAUAAAAUAUAUUUAUUACGGAGUAGGGGUGAGAAAUAAAUGCUAUGAAGGAGGAUUUAAUUGUAAUUAAAGUUUAGUAAGCUUUAAAGAUAUAAGCACUAAAUCAUGUACACACCGCCCGGUCCCCCCUCCAAAGUUUGGGGGUAGGCGCGUCAUUUCUUUUAGUACUUCUAAUAUUUUAAAGGUUUUUAGCGACCUCGAUCUUGAAAAAAAAUGUGUGUGUCGUGCACC
This 479-nucleotide ribosomal RNA is filed under the name Atergatis integerrimus. Its description in RNAcentral is "partial 12S ribosomal RNA". Lineage: Eukaryota; Metazoa; Arthropoda; Malacostraca; Decapoda; Xanthidae. The record is from RNAcentral.